GCCCAGUUCGCUCACUCAGAAGAGCGUGCAACUCUUGAUCUCAGGGUCGUGGGUUCGAGCCCCAUGCUGGGUG
This 73-nucleotide transfer RNA is filed under the name Ailuropoda melanoleuca (giant panda). It matches the Rfam family "tRNA". From Rfam's summary of the family: Transfer RNA (tRNA) molecules are approximately 80 nucleotides in length. Lineage: Eukaryota; Metazoa; Chordata; Mammalia; Carnivora; Ursidae. The record is from Rfam by way of RNAcentral.